GUGGGGAAUAUUGGACAAUGGGCGAAAGCCUGAUCCAGCAACGCCGCGUGAGGGAUGACGGCCUUCGGGUUGUAAACCUCUUUCAGCAGGGACGAAGCGAAAGUGACGGUACCUGCAGAAGAAGGACCGGCCAACUACGUGCCAGCAGCCGCGGUAAUACGUAGGGUCCGAGCGUUGUCCGGAAUUAUUGGGCGUAAAGGGCUCGUAGGCGGUUUGUCACGUCGGAAGUGAAAACUCAGGGCUCAACCCUGAGCGUGCUUACGAUACGGGCAAACUAGAGGUAUGCAGGGGAGAACGGAAUUCCUGGUGUAGCGGUGGAAUGCGCAGAUAUCAGGAGGAACACCGGUGGCGAAGGCGGUUCUCUGGGCAUUACCUGACGCUGAGGAGCGAAAGCAUGGGGAGCGAACAGGAUUAGAUACCCUAGUAGUCC
Molecule: ribosomal RNA, 430 nt
Filed under: uncultured bacterium
Lineage: Bacteria
Description: bacterial SSU rRNA
Rfam family: Bacterial small subunit ribosomal RNA
Source: RNAcentral